UGCCGUUGACAUUGAGUAUCAGUCGUUCCAGGCUAUGGGUAGCGAGUACACGGUGCCGAAAUAUAUGAUGGAAUAGGUCGUAGGGAUGUGGCCGAGUGUCGGUGGGAAGCCAUGGGAUGGCUGUACGCAUAUGUACGUACCAGUAUGUCUGAAUCAUCACUACAUUGCAGUGGAAAUCGUAUUCGCCGACUUCACGAUGUAUGUGUACGACCCCGAUCAUUCAUGCCUGACACAAGGCCAGCUCGAGCAAAAUCUAGAGUCGCUGUCUGUGAUCGUUCC
This 279-nucleotide long non-coding RNA is filed under the name Olea europaea (common olive). RNAcentral describes it as "long non-coding RNA (OEUR_LNC006075)". Lineage: Eukaryota; Viridiplantae; Streptophyta; Magnoliopsida; Lamiales; Oleaceae. The record is from RNAcentral.